CCUUUCCUACGGGACGCAGCAGUGAGGAAUAUUGGUCAAUGGGCGCAAGCCUGAACCAGCCAAGUCGCGUGAGGGAAGACGGCCCUACGGGUUGUAAACCUCUUUUGCCGGGGAGCAAGCCUGAGCACGUGUGCCCAGGCGGAGAGUACCCGGAGAAAAAGCAUCGGCUAACUCCGUGCCAGCAGCCGCGGUAAUACGGAGGAUGCGAGCGUUAUCCGGAUUUAUUGGGUUUAAAGGGUGCGCAGGCGGGCUGCUAAGCCGGCGGUACAAAUCCAGGGCUCAACCCCGUCGAGCCG
This 296-nucleotide ribosomal RNA is filed under the name uncultured bacterium. Its description in RNAcentral is "partial 16S ribosomal RNA". It matches the Rfam family "Bacterial small subunit ribosomal RNA", at positions 333 to 626 of the family's 1533-position model. The record is from RNAcentral.